Molecule: long non-coding RNA, 1136 nt
Organism: Echinops telfairi (small Madagascar hedgehog)
Lineage: Eukaryota; Metazoa; Chordata; Mammalia; Afrosoricida; Tenrecidae
Exons: 2
Source: RefSeq, a predicted model, not a curated record
AAGUCCUUUCUGCUCUCACCUGACUGUCGCACUGAGGAAGGACUUCCAGGGAAGGUAAGAGGCUGGAGCGAGGGAAGAAGGUCAGAGUGGAAGAGAAAGGCCCCAUAUAAGUGCAAACAGAUGAGAUCUGCGAUUACCAGCGCUCCCUCUGUGCCCCAGAGAGAGGCUGAGGAAGAAACCAGGAGGUGGAGGGAUCAGUAAAGGGCACAGAAUGGAACAGUGAUGGGCACAGUAGUGUCCCUGGGGUUGGCGUCACUCCACCACCGCAACCACGGAUCUCCUCCUGUCCCAGACCCUACAGAAUCCUUAGUACUACUAUCAACUAUAACCAUAGGACAAUGUGCAAAACGUAUGGUAUAAAUUGCUUAAAUGUAGCAUUUCUUAGAUGAUAGGAAUAUGGACAGGAGAAGAAUCGAUGCGUUUGAGUGUUGGUGUUGGCAAAGAACACCCGCGGUACCACGGACCCCAGGAGAGUGAGCACAGCAGUCUCGGAGGACGGUCAGCCGGAAUGCUGGUGAGACGUCAUCUCACGGACUUUGGACGUGCUAUCGAUCAGGAGGGACCAGUCCCUGGAGAAGGACGUCCUGCAUGGUAGAGGGGCAGCGAAAAAAGGAGACCCUCAACGAGAUGGAUUGUGAGGAUCGCUCAAGACUGAGUGGUUUCGCUGGGUCCGUCUGAGCGGGAGCCGACGAGGACGCAGGCAACCACAUUGCCUUGUAAAGCCUUUCUACCGUGAAUUACAAUGCUCUUACAGUUGCUGUCUUAAUAAUAACUGAGCAGAAACCUUUUUUGGUUUUCCCUCUUUUCUUUUACUUACUACUUUACUUUCAAAAUCAUUGACAGAGCUUCACAAAUAGUAAUCACCACAGUAUUGUGCCUAACACCAGAAAUGGCCAAAGCAGUGACUAUAAAACACCAGAAGGGCCGGCAGGUGAGACCACGUGAUUUGAAGCGGCAUUGUAGUUGGCGAUGCGACAACUCUGGCCAGAGGAUAUGAAAAGGUUCAACAAUCAGCACAGAGUCUCACCUAUGUAGGUGCAUUGACAGGUGUAAGCUGGGAUUACGAAAAGCUGUUUUCGUUGUUAUGACUGCUGGGGUAUUUUCAUUAAAAAAUAAAUGUCUGUUGAAACGCCGAA